UUCCUACGGGGCGCAGCAGUGGGGAAUAUUGCACAAUGGGGGAAACCCUGAUGCAGCAACGCCGCGUGAGUGAAGAAGUAUCUCGGUAUGUAAAGCUCUAUCAGCAGGGAAGAAAAUGACGGUACCUGACUAAGAAGCCCCGGCUAACUACGUGCCAGCAGCCGCGGUAAUACGUAGGGGGCGAGCGUUAUCCGGAUUUACUGGGUAUAAAGGGAGCGUAGACGGCAGCGCAAGUCUGGAGUGAAAGCCCGUGGCUCAACCGCGGAACUGCUUUGGAAACUGUUAAGCUGGAGUACUGGAGAGGC
RNAcentral lists this ribosomal RNA (305 nucleotides) under uncultured bacterium. RNAcentral's name for it is "bacterial SSU rRNA". It matches the Rfam family "Bacterial small subunit ribosomal RNA", at positions 336 to 658 of the family's 1533-position model. The record is from RNAcentral.